GGUCAAGUGGCGUAAUGGUAACGCGUUGGUUUUCGGCACCAAAGAUUGCAGGUUCGAGUCCUGUCUUGAUCG
This is a non-coding RNA of Kalaharituber pfeilii, 72 nucleotides long. Lineage: Eukaryota; Fungi; Ascomycota; Pezizomycetes; Pezizales; Pezizaceae. The record is from the annotation of a GenBank genome assembly.